RNAcentral lists this ribosomal RNA (329 nucleotides) under uncultured eukaryote. Its description in RNAcentral is "partial 18S ribosomal RNA". It matches the Rfam family "Eukaryotic small subunit ribosomal RNA", at positions 1470 to 1796 of the family's 1831-position model. The record is from RNAcentral.
CCCUUAGAUGUUCUGGGCCGCACGCGCGCUACACUGAUGCAUUCAACGAGUCUAAAACCUGCUCUGAUAGGGGUGGGUAAUCUUUUGAAUGUGCAUCGUGAUUGGGAUAGAUGAUUGCAAUUUUUCAUCUUCAACGAGGAAUGCCUAGUAAACGCAAGUCAUCAGCUUGCAUUGAUUACGUCCCUGCCCUUUGUACACACCGCCCGUCUCUCCUACCGAUUGAAUGAUCCGAUGAAUAUCAUGGAUUGAGGAUGCAAGUAGGUUCGCCUAUCUUCAUCUUCGAGAAGUGAAGUAAAUCUUAUCAUUUAGAGGAAGGAGAAGUCGUAACA